GCCUCCAUAGUGAAACGGAUAUCAUGUUUGCCUUCGAAGCAAAAGUUGGGAGUUCGAAUCUCUCUGGGGGCA
This 72-nucleotide transfer RNA is filed under the name Patescibacteria group bacterium. RNAcentral's name for it is "tRNA-Arg". It matches the Rfam family "tRNA". From Rfam's summary of the family: Transfer RNA (tRNA) molecules are approximately 80 nucleotides in length. Their secondary structure includes four short double-helical elements and three loops (D, anti-codon, and T loops). RNAcentral also lists the same sequence under 1 other name. The record is from RNAcentral.